CUGAGAGGGUGACCGGCCACAUUGGGACUGAGACACGGCCCAGACUCCUACGGGAGGCAGCAGUGGGGAAUAUUGCCCAAUGGGGGAAACCCUGAUGCAGCGACGCCCCGUGAGCGAUGAAGUAUUUCGGUAUGUAAAGCUCAAUCAGCAGGGAAGAAAAUGACGGUACCUGACUAAGAAGCCCCGGCUAACUACGUGCCAGCAGCCGC
RNAcentral lists this ribosomal RNA (209 nucleotides) under uncultured bacterium. RNAcentral describes it as "partial 16S ribosomal RNA". It matches the Rfam family "Bacterial small subunit ribosomal RNA", at positions 292 to 518 of the family's 1533-position model. The record is from RNAcentral.